UCUGGCGCGUUCUCCACCCCGCUCUGUGCCUGUGUGUCUCUGUCGAAGCGUAAAAUAUUAUGUCAUUAUCAAGGAAACGCAAUAAAUUUCUCUGGACGCGCGUUAGUCAAAUUUCAAUACAAUAAAAGAAAUACAAGAGACUGAAAAAAAAACACAAGUUAACGCGCUGAAGUUGAACCUGCCCGACUUGGAGAUACCCGACCCACCUCGCUGGCUCAAGGGCACGCGUUGCUUACUAAGUGCGAGUAACCAACGGCGAAGCUCCGCGCGAUGAGUCAUCUUUGAGGCAGCCACAAAUCAAGCUCGAGCUGCAGCUGGAGCUGAGCCAAGGCCAGUUAAGGUCUUGAAACUUUUCUGGCAUUUGAUUAAUUGGAAACGCGCUAGUGUGUGCAUACACCUACACACUCACACAUACACGCACACACACAGUAAUUUACUGUUAGAUAAUUAGCAAAAUAUGUACAAAUAU
Long non-coding RNA from Drosophila novamexicana, 469 nucleotides. RefSeq lists it as uncharacterized. NCBI's taxonomy places the organism in Eukaryota, Metazoa, Arthropoda, Insecta, Diptera, Drosophilidae. The record is from RefSeq and is a predicted model, not a curated record. The transcript is spliced from 4 exons.